Molecule: ribosomal RNA, 329 nt
Filed under: uncultured eukaryote
Lineage: Eukaryota
Description: partial 18S ribosomal RNA
Rfam family: Eukaryotic small subunit ribosomal RNA
Source: RNAcentral
CCCUUAGAUGUUCUGGGCCGCACGCGCGCUACACUGAUGCAUUCAACGAGUCUAAAACCUGCUCUGAUAGGGGUGGGUAAUCUUUUGAAUGUGCAUCGUGAUUGGGAUAGAUGAUUGCAAUUUUUCAUCUUCAACGAGAAAUGCCUAGUAAACGCAAGUCAUCAGCUUGCAUUGAUUACGUCCCUGCCCUUUGUACACACCGCCCGUCGCUCCUACCGAUUGAAUGAUCCGAUGAAUAUCAUGGAUUGAGGAUGCAAGCAGGUUCGCCUGUCUUCAUCUUCGAGAAGUGAAGUAAAUCUUAUCACUUAGAGGAAGGAGAAGUCGUAACA